Molecule: ribosomal RNA, 209 nt
Filed under: uncultured Latescibacterota bacterium
Lineage: Bacteria; Pseudomonadati; Candidatus Latescibacterota
Description: uncultured Latescibacteria bacterium partial 16S ribosomal RNA
Rfam family: Bacterial small subunit ribosomal RNA
Source: RNAcentral
CGUGUAGGCGGUCAGGUAAGUGGAAUGUGAAAUGCCCCGGGCUCACCCGGGGGACCGGCAUCCCAAACUGCCUGGCUUGAGUAUGGGAGAGGAUGGAGGAAUUCCUGGUGUAGCGGUGAAAUGCGUAGAUAUCAGGAGGAACACCGGUGGCGAAGGCGUCCAUCUGGCCCAAUACUGACGCUGAGGCGCGAAAGCUAGGGGAGCAAACG